UGGGGUAUAUACUGGGUAAGGCAUUUUUAUUCAUUUACUUUAUUUGUUUGUUUAGAUAUAGACUCUUGCUAUGUUCCCUAGGCUGGAAUGCGGUGUCUAUUACAAACACAAUCAUCCUGCACUCUGUCUGAAAUUCUGGGCCUCAAGGGAUUUUCUCAUCUUGGCCUCCUGAGUAGCUGGGGCUACAGGUGUGUGUCAUUCUGCCUGAGCUUGGAAGAUCAUUUUAACAGUUUCAAACUCAUCAAUCUCAGCAUCAGAAGAUUUUCAUCAAGAAAGCAGAAACUUAAGUCUUCUAAGGAGCUUUUGUGUAUGCUUUUGCUUUGCUGUUAAAAAUAAAUAACUAAAAGACCCAUGAUGAAUCCAUGGGGCAAGAUUAAAAAGACUGAAAAUCAAC
Molecule: long non-coding RNA, 394 nt
Filed under: Rhinopithecus bieti (black snub-nosed monkey)
Lineage: Eukaryota; Metazoa; Chordata; Mammalia; Primates; Cercopithecidae
Description: lncRNA (ENSRBIG00000046438.1)
Source: RNAcentral